RNAcentral lists this ribosomal RNA (253 nucleotides) under uncultured bacterium. RNAcentral's name for it is "partial 16S ribosomal RNA". It matches the Rfam family "Bacterial small subunit ribosomal RNA", at positions 524 to 776 of the family's 1533-position model. The record is from RNAcentral.
UACGUAGGGUGCGAGCGUUGUCCGGAAUUAUUGGGCGUAAAGAGCUCGUAGGCGGUUUGUCGCGUCGACUGUGAAAACCCGAGGCUUAACCUCGGGCCUGCAGUCGAUACGGGCAGACUAGAGUUCGGUAGGGGAGACUGGAAUUCCUGGUGUAGCGGUGAAAUGCGCAGAUAUCAGGAGGAACACCGGUGGCGAAGGCGGGUCUCUGGGCCGAUACUGACGCUGAGGCGCGAAAGCGUGGGGAGCGAACAGG